CCUAAGUGGUAACUGAGUGGGAAAGGAUGUGGAGUUGCGUAGACAACCAGGAGGUUGGCUUGGAAGCAGCCAUCCUUGAAAGAGUGCGUAAUAGCUCACUGGUCAAGUGAUUCCGCGCCGAUAAUGUAGCGGGGCUUAAGUUAUCCGCCGAAGCUGUGGCAACCUGUGUGGUUGGGUAGGGGAGCGUCGUGUCAGUGGUGAAGCUGCCGGGUGACUGUGUGGUGGAGUUGAUGCGAGUGAGAAUGCAGGCAUGAGUAGCGAAUGACAUGUGGGAAACAUGUCCUCC
This 286-nucleotide ribosomal RNA is filed under the name Striatella unipunctata. RNAcentral's name for it is "partial Bacterial large subunit ribosomal RNA". It matches the Rfam family "Bacterial large subunit ribosomal RNA", at positions 1047 to 1338 of the family's 2925-position model. Lineage: Eukaryota; Bacillariophyta; Striatellaphyceae; Striatellales; Striatellaceae. The record is from RNAcentral.